RNAcentral lists this ribosomal RNA (301 nucleotides) under uncultured bacterium. RNAcentral's name for it is "partial 16S ribosomal RNA". It matches the Rfam family "Bacterial small subunit ribosomal RNA", at positions 509 to 807 of the family's 1533-position model. The record is from RNAcentral.
CAGCCGCCGCGGUAAUACGGAGGGGGCUAGCGUUGUUCGGAAUUACUGGGCGUAAAGCGCACGUAGGCUGCUUUGUAAGUUAGAGGUGAAAGCCUGGUGCUCAACACCAGAACUGCCUUUAAGACUGCAGAGCUAGAACGUCGGAGAGGUGAGUGGAAUUCCGAGUGUAGAGGUGAAAUUCGUAGAUAUUCGGAAGAACACCAGUGGCGAAGGCGGCUCACUGGACGACUGUUGACGCUGAGGUGCGAAAGCGUGGGGAGCAAACAGGAUUAGAUACCCCGGUAGUCCCUGUCUCUUAUAC